Rhineura floridana is the source of this 872-nucleotide long non-coding RNA. RefSeq lists it as uncharacterized. Lineage: Eukaryota; Metazoa; Chordata; Lepidosauria; Squamata; Rhineuridae. The transcript is spliced from 3 exons. The record is from RefSeq and is a predicted model, not a curated record.
GGGGAAGUACAUGUCAAUGUCACUAUAGAAAUGAAGCUGAAAACAUCUCCCUGUGGUGAUUUGUCCCCAUUUGGCCCUUAAGGUUUAUAAUGGGUAUUUAUUGCACGAAGAGUUUAAAGUGCAGGUGGAGAACCUGUGUCCCAGAACAUGUUACUGGACAUCUGGCUACAAUGUCUGGAGGGCCAGAGAUUUUCCAUUCCUACGAACAGCAAAUAAUAACUUGAAUCCCUGGAUUGCAAGCAAGAAGAGAAUUGGUCAUAAAUACUUCAAUACAAAUGGUGCCAGAUCCCAAAUCUUGGAAAUGAAUGCACAUGGAGCCAACAUGAACCUAUGAUGCUGGAUUACACAGACUGAGUCCUGUUUUUUUUCCUACAUGGUAACAGGCUUCUGCCAAAUGCUGGUAAUAGAUUAAAAGCAGCCCACAGGUGUGUACAAUUCGGCACUUUGCAUCACCAAGUUGGUUCUUUGAUGUCAAGAAUUAGGGAUAAGGCUACAGUCUCCAUUCACAGAUGUUCCCAUAUCCACACUUUCUGUCACAUACAUAUAAAAUAAAGGAAGCAAAGUGACAGUCUUUGGUAUGUCACAAUUGUAUGUCAUUUAAUUGGUCUUCCUUUCCAAUCCCAUUGAAAUAAAUGGAAGAUGCCCAGCAACAGUGCCUGGUGGAUUUUUCAGCUUCAUUUUGAUUGGAAUGAAAAUAGUUUCCGUGGAUAUAUUGUGUUGCUCUUACUUAAAACACUCCAUUCUUCAGCAGUUAGAUUAUCUUUAGCAUGAGAUGGCAUAAUAGUUACAUUUAUUUAUAUAUGAAAAGUCUUCCCUUAAAUUUCUCUGAGAAUUGGAUCUGGCUGGGUAAGCCACAGCUUUGAUUGUUUUAG